RNAcentral lists this ribosomal RNA (305 nucleotides) under uncultured bacterium. RNAcentral's name for it is "bacterial SSU rRNA". It matches the Rfam family "Bacterial small subunit ribosomal RNA", at positions 334 to 636 of the family's 1533-position model. The record is from RNAcentral.
UACUGCCUACGGGAGGCAGCAGUGAGGAAUAUUGGUCAAUGGGAGAGAUCCUGAACCAGCCAAGCCGCGUGAGGGAAGACGGCCCUAUGGGUUGUAAACCUCUUUUGUCGGAGAACAAAACCCGGGACGUGUCCCGGACUGCGUGUAUCCGAAGAAAAAGCAUCGGCUAACUCCGUGCCAGCAGCCGCGGUAAUACGGAGGAUGCGAGCGUUAUCCGGAUUUAUUGGGUUUAAAGGGUGCGUAGGCGGUCCGUUAAGUCAGCGGUAAAAUUGAGAGGCUCAACCUCUUCGAGCCGUUGAAACUGG